GUCAAAACACGUAAGGGCGUACGGUGGAUGGCUUGGCAGUGAAGAGCCGAUGAAAGACGUGGUAGCCUGCGAUAAGCUCCGGGGAGGUGGCAAACAACCUUUGAUCCGGAGAUCUCUGAAUGGGGAAACCCCAUCGAAUUAAGUUCGAUGACCUACUACUGAAUACAUAGGUAGUAUGGAGGGAACCUAGGGAAGUGAAACAUCUCAGUACCUAGAGGAAAAGAGACAAAAAAAUGCAGACUUUUUAUCUCUCAUUAUCAGCAAUGGUAGUGGCGAGAUAAAAAGUCUGUAGCAUUCCCUUAGUAGCGGCGAGCGAAACGGGAGCAGCCAAAACCUUUAUAACUAACGUUUGCACUGAGUUCUACGCAAGUAUAACCGCAGGCAUUCGGGCGAGCUUGGGCUAUCGUUAUAAAAGGUGUUGUGAGACAACGCAUGUGUCACCCAUGAAGGCACGCGCAGAGAACGACGUAUUAGCAGAAUCCUUUGGAAAAAGGAACCAAAGACGGUGAUAGUCCGGUAGGCGAAAAUACGAAGUCCUGUGGUGUUGAUCUCUAGUACAACGAGACUCGAGAAAUCUCGUUGGAAGCAGGCACGACGAUGUGCCAAGGCUAAAUACUCUUCCUGACCGAUAGUGAACAAGUACAGUGAUGGAAAGCUGAAAAGCAGCCCGGGAGGGCGAUGAAAUAGUUUCUGAAACCGUACGCUUACAAGGAGUUGGAGCGGGCGCAAGUCCGUGACAGCGUUCCUAUUGAAGAAUGAGCCGACGAGUGUGCUGUGUGUCGCUUGGUUAAGUUCCUGCGGGAACGAAGCCACAGUGAAAGCGAGCCUUAAUAGGGCGUUUUGGUGGCACACACACGACCCGAAACCCGGCGAGCUAGCCAUGACCAGGAUGAAGCUCUAAGAAAUUAGAGUGGAGGUCCGAACCCACGAGCCGUGCAACACUCGGGGAUGAGUUGUGGCUAGGGGUGAAAUUCCAAUCGAGCUGGGUGAUAGCUGGUUCUCCCCGAAAUAGAUUUUGGUCUAGCGCUGGUUCAUAGCUUAACGGAGGUAGAGCACUGAAUGGGAACACGGGCGCAAGCUUAGUGUUUCCAACCAAACUCCGAAUGCCGUUAAGUGUUCCCAGCAGUCAGUCCAUGGGGGCUAAGCUCCAUCGGACAAAAGGGAAACAGCCCUUGAUCGCAGACUAAGGCCCCUAAAUGUAUACUAAGUGUGAAAGGUGGUUCAGUGACUUAUACAACCAGGAGGUUGGCUUAGAAGCAGCCAUCCUUUAAAGAAAGCGUAACAGCUCACUGGUCAAGUUACCGAGCGCCGAAAACUUAUCGGGGCUAAGUAUACUGCCGAAGUCGCGAAUUUCGAUCUGAUUUAUCAGAUGAAAUGGUAGGGGAGCAUUCUGAUCGCGCAGAAGCGGAAGGCGUGAGCCACCGUGGAGCGUUCAGAAGAGAGAAUGUCGGUAUAAGUAGCAACAAGAAAGGUGAGAAUCCUUUCCACCGUAAACCCAAGGUUUCCAGGGCUACGCGAAUCGUCCCUGGGUUAGUCGGUCCUAAGGCAAGGCUGAAAAGCGUAGCCGAUGGACAGCAGGUUAAUAUUCCUGCACUUCUGUGAGUUUUCAAUGGGGUGACACAUCGUUCAAUUGGUCGAGUCUCCUGGAAUGAGACUUCGGGCACGGAGGGGUGACUGGUAGGCAAAUCCGCCAGUCGUAAGCCUCGCUGUGAGCGCAAGAUUAACGAAAGUUAAUCAAGGAUCGAGACUGCGGUGUCUAGAAAAACCUCUAGAGCUAAGCUCAUAGAAACCGUACCGUAAACCGACACAGGUGGGUGGGCAUAAGUGUGCUAAGGUGUACGAGAGAACCCAUGUUUAGGAACUCGGCAAUACAACGGCCGUACCUUCGGUAUAAGGCCUGCCUCGUAGCAAUACGAGGCCGCAGCUAAAGACGCUUUCCGACUGUUUACCAAAAACACAGCUUCCUGCAAAACCGCAAGGUGAGGUAUAGGAAGUGAUGCCUGGCCAGUGUCAGAACGUUAAGGGGAGAAGUCAUGGACUUCGGUCCGGCAGCUUUGAACUUAAGCGCUGAUGAACGCCGGCGAUAACUAUAAUCGUCCUAAGGUAGCGAAAUUCCUUGUCGGGUGAGUUCCGACCCGCACGAAUGGCAUAACGAGAGAGCGACUGUCUCAACAUGGGACUCGGCGAAAUUGCAAGUGGGGUGAAGAUGCCCUGUACGCGUAGUCAGACGAAAAGACCCCGUGAAGCUUUACUACAACUUGAUAUUGGGUAUUGGUUUAGCAUGUUCAGCGUAGGUGGGAGCUUCGGCGACAAUGAGACACCACCCUUGCUCUGACAAUACUCUGAUCACGAUCCAUGAAUCUGGAUAGUGAGACAGUAUCUGGUGGGUAGUUUAACUGGGGCGGUUGCCUCCUAAAAGGUAACGGAGGCGUUCACUAAGGUCAGCUAGGCGCGGAUGGAAAUCGCGCUGGUUCCGCAAUGGGACAAGCUGGCUUAACUGCAAGACCAACAAGUCGAGCAGAUGCGAAAGCAGGACAUAGUGAUCCGACCGUACGAUAUCGGACGGCGGAAGCUCAACGGAUAAAAGCUACUCCGGGGAUAACAGGCUGAUCUGGUCCAAGAGUCCACAUCGACGACCAGGUUUGGCACCUCGAUGUCGGC
Molecule: ribosomal RNA, 2661 nt
Filed under: Patescibacteria group bacterium
Lineage: Bacteria
Description: partial 23S ribosomal RNA
Rfam family: Bacterial large subunit ribosomal RNA
Source: RNAcentral